Molecule: ribosomal RNA, 433 nt
Filed under: uncultured bacterium
Lineage: Bacteria
Description: partial 16S ribosomal RNA
Rfam family: Bacterial small subunit ribosomal RNA
Source: RNAcentral
AACGAACGCUGGCGGCAUGCCUAACACAUGCAAGUCGAACGAGACCUCCGGGUCUAGUGGCGCACGGGUGCGUAACGCGUGGGAACCUGCCCUUAGGUUCCGGAUACCUCCCUUUAAGGGGUGCUAAUACCGGGUAAUGUCUUCGGACAAAAGAUUUAUCGCCUUGGGGUGGGCACGCGUUGGUUUAGCCGGUUGGUAUUGUAAAAGCCUAUCAAGGCGUGGAUCCUUAGCUGGUCUGAGAGGAAGAGCAGCGACACUGGGACUGAGACACGGCCCAGAAUCCUACGCGAGGGAGGAGAGGGGAAUACUGGAAAACGGGGGAGAGGAUGAUCCAGCAAGGGCGGGUGAGUGAUGAAGGCGUUAGGGAAGUGCAGCUCUUUUACCCGGGGUGAUAAUGACGGUACCGGGAGAAUAAGCACCGGCUAACUCCGUG